This 1059-nucleotide ribosomal RNA is filed under the name uncultured bacterium. Its description in RNAcentral is "bacterial SSU rRNA". It matches the Rfam family "Bacterial small subunit ribosomal RNA", at positions 409 to 1475 of the family's 1533-position model. The record is from RNAcentral.
UGACGGCCUUCGGGUUGUAAACCUCUUUCAGUAGGGAAGAAGCGAAAGUGACGGUACCUGCAGAAGAAGCGCCGGCUAACUACGUGCCAGCAGCCGCGGUAAUACGUAGGGCGCAAGCGUUAUCCGGAAUUAUUGGGCGUAAAGAGCUCGUAGGCGGUUUGUCGCGUCUGCCGUGAAAGUCCGGGGCUCAACUCCGGAUCUGCGGUGGGUACGGGCAGACUAGAGUGAUGUAGGGGAGACUGGAAUUCCUGGUGUAGCGGUGAAAUGCGCAGAUAUCAGGAGGAACACCGAUGGCGAAGGCAGGUCUCUGGGCAUUAACUGACGCUGAGGAGCGAAAGCAUGGGGAGCGAACAGGAUUAGAUACCCUGGUAGUCCAUGCCGUAAACGUUGGGCACUAGGUGUGGGGGACAUUCCACGUUUUCCGCGCCGUAGCUAACGCAUUAAGUGCCCCGCCUGGGGAGUACGGCCGCAAGGCUAAAACUCAAAGGAAUUGACGGGGGCCCGCACAAGCGGCGGAGCAUGCGGAUUAAUUCGAUGCAACGCGAAGAACCUUACCAAGGCUUGACAUGGACCGGAAACACCUGGAAACAGGUGCCCCGCUUGCGGCCGGUUCACAGGUGGUGCAUGGUUGUCGUCAGCUCGUGUCGUGAGAUGUUGGGUUAAGUCCCGCAACGAGCGCAACCCUCGUUCCAUGUUGCCAGCGCGUAAUGGCGGGGACUCAUGGGAGACUGCCGGGGUCAACUCGGAGGAAGGUGGGGACGACGUCAAAUCAUCAUGCCCCUUAUGUCUUGGGCUUCACGCAUGCUACAAUGGCCGGUACAAAGGGUUGCGAUACUGUGAGGUGGAGCUAAUCCCAAAAAGCCGGUCUCAGUUCGGAUUGGGGUCUGCAACUCGACCCCAUGAAGUCGGAGUCGCUAGUAAUCGCAGAUCAGCAACGCUGCGGUGAAUACGUUCCCGGGCCUUGUACACACCGCCCGUCAAGUCACGAAAGUUGGUAACACCCGAAGCCGGUGGCCUAACCCCUUGUGGGAGGGAGCUGUCGAAGGUGGGACUGGCGAU